Non-coding RNA from Dipodomys ordii (Ord's kangaroo rat), 65 nucleotides. Lineage: Eukaryota; Metazoa; Chordata; Mammalia; Rodentia; Heteromyidae. The record is from Rfam.
GGUGGCUCACUGGUAGAGUGCUUGCCUUGCAUGCAUGAGGCCCUGGGUUCGAUUCCUCAGUACCA